CCAUGUACAACGAUGCUGUCAGUAAGGUGAGAGUUGGCCUUGAAUACAGUGAUGAAUGUAACGUGCAAGUUGGAGUUCACCAGGGAUCAGUCCUUAGUCCAUUCUUAUUCAUCAUAGUUCUCCAGGCCAUAACAGAUGAAUUCAAAACUGGAUAAAUUCAAAACUGUUG
Octopus sinensis (East Asian common octopus) is the source of this 169-nucleotide long non-coding RNA. RefSeq lists it as uncharacterized. Lineage: Eukaryota; Metazoa; Mollusca; Cephalopoda; Octopoda; Octopodidae. The record is from RefSeq and is a predicted model, not a curated record. The transcript is spliced from 3 exons.